This 336-nucleotide RNase P RNA is filed under the name bovine gut metagenome. RNAcentral's name for it is "Bacterial RNase P class A". It matches the Rfam family "Bacterial RNase P class A". From Rfam's summary of the family: Ribonuclease P (RNase P) is a ubiquitous endoribonuclease, found in archaea, bacteria and eukarya as well as chloroplasts and mitochondria. The record is from RNAcentral.
ACAAUCGCGGCUGCCCGAGAUGAGGGCAGAUGAGGAAAGUCCGGGCUCCACAGGGCAGUGUGCUGGAUAACGUCCAGCGGGGGUGACCCCAGGGAAAGUGCCAUAGAAAAGGAAACCGCCGGCUUGCCGGUAAGGGUGGAAAGGUGCGGUAAGAGCGCACCGGCGAUCGGGUGACCGGUCGGCCAGGUAAACCCCACACGGAGUAAGACCGAAUAGGGAAGGGAUGAUGCGGCCCGCGGAACCUUCCGGGUUGCGUCGCUUGAGCCGGCAGGCAACUGCCGUGCCUAGAUAAAUGAUUGUCACCGCGUAAGCGGAACAGAACUCGGCUUACUGAUU